This 4824-nucleotide long non-coding RNA is filed under the name Nicotiana tabacum (common tobacco). RNAcentral describes it as "long non-coding RNA (NTAB_LNC010742)". The record is from RNAcentral. Lineage: Eukaryota; Viridiplantae; Streptophyta; Magnoliopsida; Solanales; Solanaceae.
UCGUCAAAUCAAUUAUCAACAUUCAUGUAAAAUCAUAACUCCAGAACGGAUGAGUUUAGCCACACAUAGUCAUGGUAGCAAUUUCAAAUAAUUUCCAAGAGUACAUACAAAUCAAUAAAAGAAGGAAAAAGUAAGAACUCAAGACGAAUUCCGUAGUUUUCAAACUUUGUGGUGGCUUUUUUCCGCUUCCUUGUGUGUUAGAUGACCUACAAGAGGCGUUUUUGGCUUAUAUAAUGCGUACAUAGGUCAUGGGCCAAUGUUUUUCUUUUCCUAAUCUAACUCAGCUUCAGGGAUUGAUAUAUGCUGGGGUGGAUGCGCCGCGUCCGCCGUAGCUUCAACCUCUCAGCAUCGCAUCCACCCUCUGUUCCUUUAUCUCUGAUGUGCUCAGGUGCGGAUGCCUUAGCCCGACGUCACUGCUAAAGGUGUACCAAAUACAAUUUUUUCCAAAGUUGGAUGCGACACAUCCACCCUCUUCUCCUAUAGCUGGAGCACCUUUUCUUCAUAUUUUCGCACUCCAAACACCCUAAAUCAUCACACACAACUUAAUUAGUCAAAAAAUCAAUAAUUAAUAUGGUAUUUUUAACACCAAAUAGCACCAAAAAGUGAUUAAAAUAUGAGUAAAGUAAUAUUAAAAGAUAUAGAAAUAUGCCCAACAUAGUUUUCGACGUAGUUUUCUUCAAUGCAUGACGUUCUUAAUUAGUAAGCAGGUCCUCCCCCCUCCCCCCUCCCCCCACAUAUCUUAAUCAACUUUAUAGUGCUACUACUAGCUAGUAUUUAACAAAAAAAUGGAAAAAAAUGUAUUAGUGAAAAUCAUAUGUAAAACGUCAAAGCUGGGGUCUUAUUAUAAUUUUGUAGUGAUAACUAAGUUCUAACUUCUAUAUAUUUUCAAUUAAAGCAGGUUAUAAUGAUCACGCGACAACGACAAUAAUAUAAUACUGAAAGUUUAAACAGGAUAUGGUAAAAGCAUUCCAAAAAAGAUAAGACGUGAUUUUGUUUGGAAUGUGCAUUAUUAUUGUUUUCUUGUCAAUAAACAUCUUCAUCAUGUAGUUAAUUUGGUACCAUUAGACAACACGAAUUUAUUAGUUUGUGUCAGAAUAAAACAUGGUAAUUAUGUGAAAAAACAUUAAUUAAAAGUAAUAAGUAAUUAAAAGAAAUCAAUUUUAGUAGGCCUUCUACCGUUGUGCAUUAGUACAUAUACUUCCUCAACCGAAGUUUAAUAAAAACUUUUCCUUUUAUUGCACUAUGAAAAUUAUAAUAAAUUAAAUUAUUAUUAUAGUAUUAUGGAUGAUAUUGUCUCCUCAGAGUCAAUACGUACUAAUAAUGUGGUUGACUGUUACGACGUAGCCAUAUACAUGUAAAAUUCCUCACUUUGAAUUAUUAGAAGUCUUGUCCUAAAGAAGACAAAUAAGAAUUCUCCUCAUCUUCUUCUUUAUCUAAUUUGAUGUUUUUCUUAUUUUCUAAUGGUGCAAUAAAUAGCUAGCUCUCGAAGAUAAGAGGGACAAAUAUAUAUCUUGCCUACUUAUUGCCAAGUUCAACUAAUUUAUUCGUGGCUUUGCCUCUAGAGGUGAGUAUAUUCGAAGAUGAUUAAAGAAAAUUAAGGAGACAACAUUUCAUUUUUCAACCAAUUUGUGACACAUACGACAUUAAAAGUUUAAAAUAUUAAUUGACUAGGAAAUAUUUCCAUUUUGUUCCCUUUGAGAAUUGUGAAUAUACUUAUUUCGCAUGUCUUGCGUAACCAUUGAGUAAUCAUGAAAAGUCAAGAGGGAAGCGGAGGAAAAAGUUAAUUACCCCAUAUUGAAAUGACGGGAUAUGGUAAUUUAGUACUCUAGUAUAUAGUAUUGGUAUUUGUUUUGGAAGAGUUAUAGAUUUUGUCUACUUUUAACACUAUAGUUAAGGUUUUCUAUAGCUUGGAUUGCAAAAGACUUUACCAGUUUACUCUAAUCUAUAACUAAAAAUAAUAUGUCAAAUUGUAAGAGAAAAGUUACCUAAUAUGUCACAAUCAAGAACAAUACUUUGACAUAAAUAGUAUGAACAAUAACUUAAACGGAUUAGAAUCGUGAACAUAUAAGGUUGAAAAUUGAAAUCCUAGCUCCGUUUUUGCCCAUAAAUAUCAUGAGAACAAGUGUAUGAUGCCAACUUCUGGAACAAGCUGCACAUUUCCAACUUUUUUGCAUAAUAAUCUAUAAAAUUCUAAAAAUAAGCAGUCUCAAGCAACGACUAUUAAUCUUCUUGGUGACUUUUUUUUUUGUCAUAAAAAUAUAUAGUGCUCCGGCAAUUAUUCUUUGUUGAAGUAUGGCAUUAUAUAUGUUUGAGCUUAACAUCUAUAAGCUGACAUGGCCAACUCUAACAGUGUAUGGGGUAAGGCAAGUGUCUUAGGCCCCCAAUUUUGGGGGCCCCAUUUUUUAGGAAUAAUAUAUAUAUAUAUAUAUAUUAUAUAUACACUAGUACUAUUGUACUUUUCAUAGUAGAAAAAUAAUUUUCAAUUUGAUUUGAUUUGACAAUUCUACUUUUUACUCCUCCCAAGUAAAUCUCAACGUUACAAUUUCAUUUCAAUCCUCAUAUUUGAUAUUCCAUAUAUGAGACAUACCUUCUUCCUACUUCUUUAUCCAUGCUCAUCUUUUUCUACAAUUCUACUAGAUUUCUUUCUUUCUCCUACAAGCCAACAACUUGAUAUUUUGGAAUCAAAGUCUUCAGACUUUUUGAAUCAUUCAUUGGGUAAUAUCAUUCUAACUUUCUAGUAUUAUUUUUAUUUAUUAUUUUAUUAAUUUUACUCCAUACAUAUUGUUUAAUUUUUUGGAAUAUAAAUAUGUCAACAAAAAAAUAUGCAUCUGGUUAUUUAAAAAUCCAAAAGAAAAGAAAAGUUGAAAAUUUAAUAACAAUCGAUUAUAAAAAAAUUAGAAGAAUAGAUUAUAAAAAAAUUAUUAACAACUUUGCGUCUCAAAAAAUUAGAAGAAUAAAUUUUAAAUAAAAAUAUAUAUUAUAAUGAAAAGUAAAUUUAUACUGUCAAAAUACUUAAAGAUAUUCUUUUUGUCUCAAUUUGUGUGACAACGGUGUUUACUUAGGCCCGAUUAAGUAAUUUCAUAUUAGACAGAAGUAAUAAGACUUAAACCUAUUAAUAGCUGGCGCGCUGCUCGCUUUUACAGUUAAACAUCUAACUUCAAUAUUGAUGCGCCCUUACUUUUUAGUUCAUUUUUCCUUCUUGGUUUAUGGGUUUGGAAAGGGGUGGGGUGGGGGUGGGGGUUAAUUUGGUGAAUGCUUCCAGUCUUUUUCGACGUAGUUUUCUUCUAUGCAUGACGUUCUUAAGUAGUAAGCACCCCCCCCCCAACACCCCCCCCACACACACAUAUCUCAAUCAACUUUAUAGUGCUACUACUAGCUAGUAUUUAACAAAAAAAUGGAUAAAAAUGUAUUAGUGAAAAUCAUAUGUAAAACGUCAAAGCUAGGGUAUUAUUGGAAUUUUGUAGUGAUAACAAAGUUCUAACUUCUAUAUAUUUUCAAUUAAUGCAGGUUAUAAUGAUCACGAGACAAUGGCAAUAAUAUAAUACUGGAAGUUUAAACUGGUAAAAGCAUUCUAAAAAAGAUAAGACGUGAUUUUAUUUGGAACGUGCAUUAUUAUUGUUUUCUUGUCAAUAAACAUCUUCAUCAUGUAGUUAAUUUGAUACCAUUAGACAACACGAAUUUAUUAGUUUGUGUCAGAAUAAAACAUGGUAAUUAUGUGUAACAACAUUAAUUAAAAGUAAUAAGUAAUUAAAAGAAAUCAAUUUUGGUAGACCUUCUACCGUUGUGCAUUAGUACAUAUACUUCUUCAAUCGAAGUUUAAUAAAAACUUUUCCUUUUAUUAUAAGUGAAAUUAAUAUCAUUGAAUAUAUAUGCGUGGAUAAUUAAUUAACAAAUAUAUAUUGUGGCAACUUGUGCCUCAGCACAUAUUCAAUGUACCACUUCACCCAUUGAUCUCCCAAAUCUUGAUCCAAUAAGUUGUCUGUAAAUAUUGGUUAUGGGCAUUGGGGACUUGUUCGUGCAUGUACAACCACUGUACAUUACGUUCUAACCCCAAUGUGGUCCCUUUGUUUCAAUGAAUAAAUUUGUAAAGUCAUAGAGAAAAUUAGAUAGGGUCUAUCGGAAACAUAGGUUGCCAUAUUCAAACAUAGGUUGGGAGAUAGAAAAGGAAAUUACAACAAUUGGAGAGAGGAAGAUGAGUAUAUUCCUGAAAUAAUUCUAAUUUUAUUGUGGUUUAAUUUAAUAUAUUACAUGAGUUUAAAAGCAAACAAAAUAAUCUGGGUCACCCACACGGGUCAAUCCUAAUAAUAAAAUAAAAUUAAAAGGAGAUAAACCAAAAAAGACACAUGAGUUGGCAGUAGAUGCGACAAUUAAACAAGAGUGAUCUUAUUUACUCUCGCCGUUUCAAUUUAUGUGAACCUAUUUGACUGGACACGGAGUUUAAGAAAAAAUGAAGACUUUUAAAAUUUAUGAUCCUAAAUAAGUCAAAAAGGAACCUAGAGUAUUUGUGUGGUUAUAAAAGCUUCUCAUUAAGGGUAGAAUUUAUUGGGAAAAAAUAAUAAUCCCGCCCAGAAAUAAUAUUCACGGCAAGUAACAAUAACACAAGAGAGUAACAACGACACCAACUCUUUUAACGAGGUAAAAUACAAUACUCGAGCGGAAUAAUAUUACCACUAAUAUUACAAUACUUAGUAGUGCCAAGAGACUACUAGAAUUUUGAAAGAAAUAACACUCUUUAUUUAAACACCUCACUACAAUAUUACGCACACUCACUAUUUAUCUCACAGGCUAUAAUCUGUGGAUUACUCUCUCUAACUUCUAUUGCUU